GUAAUUUGCAGAGGGCGCUUUGGUGUUGGCAGCGGUCCAAGUUCCUUGGAACAGGACGUCACAGAGGGUGAGAAUCCCGUACGUGGUCGCUAGCCUCCGCCGUGUAAAGCCCCUUCGACGAGUCGAGUUGUUUGGGAAUGCAGCUCUAAAUGGGAGGUAAAUUUCUUCUAAAGCUAAAUACUGGCCAGAGACCGAUAGCGCACAAGUAGAGUGAUCGAAAGAUGAAAAGCACUUUGGAAAGAGAGUCAAAUAGCACGUGAAAUUGUUGAAAGGGAAGCGCUUGCAGCCAGACUUGCCUGUAGUUGCUCAUCCGGGCUUUUGCCCGGUGCACUCUUCUACAGGCAGGCCAGCAUCAGUUUGGGCGGUUGGAUAAAGGUCUCUAUCACGUACCUCUCUUCGGGGAGGCCUUAUAGGGGAGACGUCAUGCAACCAGCCUGGACUGAGGUCCGCGCAUUUGCUAGGAUGCUGGCGUAAUGGCUGUAAGCGGCCCGUCUUGAAACACGGACCAAGGAGUCUAACAUCUAUGCGAGUGUUUGGGUGUCAAGCCCGAGCGCGUAAUGAAAGUGAACGGAGGUGGGAACCCUUUGGGUGCACCAUCGACCGAUCCUGAUGUCUUCGGAAGGAUUUGAGUAAGAGCAUGGCUGUUGGGACCCGAAAGAUGGUGAACUAUGCUUGAAUAGG
This 681-nucleotide ribosomal RNA is filed under the name Sphaerellopsis melampsorinearum. Its description in RNAcentral is "Sphaerellopsis sp. PAGZ-2023a partial large subunit ribosomal RNA". It matches the Rfam family "Eukaryotic large subunit ribosomal RNA", at positions 145 to 845 of the family's 3401-position model. Lineage: Eukaryota; Fungi; Ascomycota; Dothideomycetes; Pleosporales; Leptosphaeriaceae. The record is from RNAcentral.